UGAUAUAGAAUCCAAGAUCUCUUAGAAGAGGGACCGGUUUUUUCGGCCACUAAGCUAAGAGCCCUUUGGAAAGUUAAGUAGAACGGUUGCCUUAAAAGGACUCCAAGGCUAAUAAGUUGCAGAGAGCAGAGAAUUUACGAGAUUUAUGAAAUUGUAGCACACGUUUUGUUUCGGAGAUAUUCGAGGUACUAUAUAUAUAUAUCUAUCUAUGUAUAUAUAACCAAUCCAAACUAUAAGUGAUACAACAAUAUACAUACUGCUCAUCAAGCAACCAGGAAAGUUGUUCUGUUCUUCUCUCUCUCUCUCUCUCUCUCAGAGGAGAGGAGACUACAAAACAGUGAACAAGCCUGCCUUACACUAAAUUUCUACCCUCUAAAAGCAUAUCAAAACACUCUCACACAACAGAGAAUCGAUAUAAACGC
Tarenaya hassleriana is the source of this 422-nucleotide long non-coding RNA. RefSeq lists it as uncharacterized. The record is from RefSeq and is a predicted model, not a curated record. The transcript is spliced from 2 exons. Lineage: Eukaryota; Viridiplantae; Streptophyta; Magnoliopsida; Brassicales; Cleomaceae.